RNAcentral lists this transfer RNA (90 nucleotides) under Chloroflexota bacterium. Its description in RNAcentral is "Chloroflexi bacterium (wastewater metagenome) tRNA-Ser". It matches the Rfam family "tRNA". Rfam says of the family: Transfer RNA (tRNA) molecules are approximately 80 nucleotides in length. Their secondary structure includes four short double-helical elements and three loops (D, anti-codon, and T loops). RNAcentral also lists the same sequence under 1 other name. Lineage: Bacteria; Bacillati; Chloroflexota. The record is from RNAcentral.
GGGAAGGUGCCAGAGUGGUCGAAUGGGGCCGCCUGCUAAGCGGUUGUGGGCCUUAUAAGUCCACCGAGGGUUCGAAUCCCUCCCUUCCCG